RNAcentral lists this ribosomal RNA (326 nucleotides) under uncultured eukaryote. RNAcentral describes it as "partial 18S ribosomal RNA". It matches the Rfam family "Eukaryotic small subunit ribosomal RNA", at positions 1470 to 1796 of the family's 1831-position model. The record is from RNAcentral.
CCCUUAGAUGUUCUGGGCCGCACGCGCGCUACACUGAUAAUGUCAACAAGCUUUACCUUGGCCGAUAGGUCUGGGCAAUCUUCGAACUAUUAUCGUGAUGGGGCUAGAUUAUUGCAACUAUUAAUCUUAAACGAGGAAUUCCUAGUAAGCGCGAGUCGUCAGCUCGCGUUGAUUACGUCCCUGCCCUUUGUACACACCGCCCGUCGCUCCUACCGAUUGGAUUGGCUGGUGAAGCGUUCGGAUUGUGGGUUCGGAGCGGUUCGCCGUUCUGGGCUUGCGAGAAGUUCGUUAAACCCUCCUAUCUAGAGGAAGGAGAAGUCGUAACA